RNAcentral lists this unclassified non-coding RNA (1169 nucleotides) under Bombus terrestris (buff-tailed bumblebee). RNAcentral describes it as "misc RNA ENSBTSG00005030248.1". The record is from RNAcentral. Lineage: Eukaryota; Metazoa; Arthropoda; Insecta; Hymenoptera; Apidae.
CUGUUAAUUAACGCAAGUUCCAUUCCGCGCAAUUUUUCAUCGUAGCGAACAUCUGGAACUAUCGGCUUGGCAACUAAGUGAUUGCGGAUUUUGUCAUUAGAUGCUAAUAGUAAAUGCCACAAUCGUUUAGUACGGUAGUUGUAGCGCUAGUAUCGAGCGGUGAUUUACCCUAAUCAGACCGAAGCCUAUCAGUCCACCGAUACACUGGGAACAAAUGUAGAGGAAGGUCAUGGGCAGAGAGACUCUCCCUAGGAUCAGAGCUGCCACUGUUAUGGAGGGAUUUAUGUGCGCUCCACUGAUGUGUCCGAUACACUGGAAAACUCACAUGGUAUUUUGAACUUCUUCGUGGCAGUCUGUAUGCUGGAGCUCGGAUUGAACGGGAUGCCAACGCUUUUCGAUUUUCCCGCUGUACUGGCGGUGAUCGCACCAGUCUGUAUUAUCGAGAUGCCAGUUUGCUCCAUGUCUCACGAACUGGUCCACGUCAAUCUGCCUGCCCGUUAAAAAAUUCAACGUUCAUUUCAUCGAUAGAACUCGUCGAGUUUAAAGGGAAGAAAAAUAGGAAUUCUUUCUUCGCGGGUAUCAACGAGUAAUUUUGUUUAUUUUUGCAAAUGGGAAAUAAUUUGUCAGUAGCCAUCCCAUCGAAUUCAAAAGAAACGAUCGAGAGAAAGUGAGAGAAAAAUAGGAAUUCUUUUUUCAAAAAUAUCCAUGAAUAAUUUUGUUCGUCUCUAUCGAUGAAAAAUAUUUUCCUCCGUAAUUUGUCAGUAGCCAUCUCGUCGAACUGCUAGAAAUAGAGAAACGAAAGAAGACAUAGAAAUUCUUUUUUCAGAAGUGUCCAUGAAACAAUUCAGAGAAAGGAAGAAAAAAAUAGGAGAUCUUCUCUCAGAGGUAUCCAUGAAUAAUUUUGCUCGUUUCUACGAAAUAGGAGACAUUUUAAUCCGUAAUUUGUCAGUAACAAUUUCGUCGAAUUGCUAGAAAUAGAGAAACGAAAGGAGAAAUAGAAACUCUUCUUUUCACAAGUAUCCACUUGUAGUUUCGUCCGUUUCUACAAAAGGAAGAUAUAUUUUGUCUCGAAAUUUCUCAGUAGCCAUCCCAUCGAAUUUCAAGAAACGAUGAAGAGAAAGUGAGAGAAAAAUAGGAAUUCAUUUUUCAAAAAUAUCCAUGAAUAAUUU